CCUACGGGUGGCAGCAGUGAGGAAUAUUGGUCAAUGGGCUUACGCCUGAACCAGCCAAGUCGCGUGAGGGAAGACUGCCCUAUGGGUUGUAAACCUCUUUUGUCAGGGAGCAACGCCGGCUACGUGUAGCCGGACUGAGAGUACCUGAAGAAAAAGCAUCGGCUAACGCCGUGCCAGCAGCCGCGGUAAUACGGAGGAUGCGAGCGGUAUCCGGAUUUAUUGGGUUUAACGGGUGCGUAGGCGGAAUGCCAAGUCAGCGGUAAAAUCGCGGGGCUCAACCUCGCUCCGCCGUUGAAACUGGCGGUCUUGAGUGGGCGAGAAGUAUGCGGAAUGCGUGGUGUAGCGGUGAAAUGCAUAGAUAUCACGCAGAACUCCGAUUGCGAAGGCAGCAUACCGGCGCCCAACUGACGCUGAAGCACGAAAGCGUGGGUAUCGAACAGGAUUAGAUACCCUUGUAGUC
RNAcentral lists this ribosomal RNA (460 nucleotides) under uncultured bacterium. Its description in RNAcentral is "partial 16S ribosomal RNA". It matches the Rfam family "Bacterial small subunit ribosomal RNA", at positions 338 to 795 of the family's 1533-position model. The record is from RNAcentral.